RNAcentral lists this ribosomal RNA (482 nucleotides) under uncultured bacterium. RNAcentral describes it as "bacterial SSU rRNA". It matches the Rfam family "Bacterial small subunit ribosomal RNA", at positions 28 to 507 of the family's 1533-position model. The record is from RNAcentral.
GAUGAACGCUAGCUACAGGCUUAACACAUGCAAGUCGAGGGGUAGCAGGGUAGCAAUACCGCUGACGACCGGCGCACGGGUGAGUAACACGUAUCCAACCUUCCCAUAACUCUGGGAUAGCCUUUACGAAAGAAAGAUUAAUACCGGAUGGUACUUUUCAAGGCAUCUUGAGAAAGUUAAAGAUUUAUUGGUUAUGGAUGGGGAUGCGUUCCAUUAGAUAGUUGGUGAGGUAACGGCUCACCAAGUCUUCGAUGGAUAGGGGUUCUGAGAGGAAGGUCCCCCACAUUGGUACUGAGACACGGACCAAACUCCUACGGGAGGCAGCAGUGAGGAAUAUUGGUCAAUGGGCGAGAGCCUGAACCAGCCAAGUAGCGUGAAGGAUGAAGGUCCUAUGGAUUGUAAACUUCUUUUAUAGUAGAAUAAAGUGAUCCACGUGUGGAUUUUUGUAUGUAUACUAUGAAUAAGGAUCGGCUAACUCCGUG